AGAGUUUGAUCAUGGCUCAGGAUGAACGCUAGCUACAGGCUUAACACAUGCAAGUCGAGGGGAACGACAUCGAAAGCUUGCUUUUGAUGGGCGUCGACCGGCGCACGGGUGAGUAACGCGUAUCCAACCUGCCCAUCACUUGGGGAUAACCUUGCGAAAGUAAGACUAAUACCCAAUGAUAUCUCUAGAAGGCAUCUGAAAGAGAUUAAAGAUUUAUCGGUGAUGGAUGGGGAUGCGUCUGAUUAGCUUGUUGGCGGGGUAACGGCCCACCAAAGCAACGAUCAGUAGGGUUCUGAGAGGAAGGUCCCCCANAUUGGAACUGAGACACGGUCCAAACUCCUACGGGAGGCA
This 351-nucleotide ribosomal RNA is filed under the name uncultured bacterium. RNAcentral's name for it is "bacterial SSU rRNA". It matches the Rfam family "Bacterial small subunit ribosomal RNA", at positions 8 to 350 of the family's 1533-position model. The record is from RNAcentral.